RNAcentral lists this ribosomal RNA (283 nucleotides) under uncultured prokaryote. RNAcentral's name for it is "partial 16S ribosomal RNA". It matches the Rfam family "Bacterial small subunit ribosomal RNA", at positions 524 to 805 of the family's 1533-position model. The record is from RNAcentral.
UACGUAGGGGCGAGCGUUGUCCGGAAUGAUUGGGCGUAAAGGGCGCGUAGGCGGCUUGUUAAGUCUGGAGUGGAAGUCCUCUUUUCAAGGGAGGAAUUGCUUUGGAAACUGGCGGGCUUGAGUGCAGGAGAGGUUAUCGGAAUUCCCGGUGUAGCGGUGAAAUGCGUAGAGAUCGGGAGGAACACCAGUGGCGAAGGCGGCUUUCUGGCCAGUUACUGACGCUCAUGCGCGAAAGCUGGGGUAGCGAACCGGAUUAGAUACCCCGGUAGUCCCUGAGCGGGCU